Molecule: ribosomal RNA, 751 nt
Filed under: uncultured Actinomyces sp.
Lineage: Bacteria; Bacillati; Actinomycetota; Actinomycetes; Actinomycetales; Actinomycetaceae
Description: bacterial SSU rRNA
Rfam family: Bacterial small subunit ribosomal RNA
Source: RNAcentral
GACGAACGCUGGCGGCGUGCUUAACACAUGCAAGUCGAACGCUGAAGCCUAGCUUGCUGGGUGGAUGAGUGGCGAACGGGUGAGUAACACGUGAGUAACCUGCCCUCUUCUUUGGGAUAACGCCCGGAAACGGGUGCUAAUACUGGAUAUUCACUGAUUCUCGCAUGGGGGUUGGUGGAAAGGUUUUUUCUGGUGGGGGAUGGGCUCGCGGCCUAUCAGCUUGUUGGUGGGGUGAUGGCCUACCAAGGCUUUGACGGGUAGCCGGCCUGAGAGGGUGAUCGGUCACAUUGGGACUGAGAUACGGCCCAGACUCCUACGGGAGGCAGCAGUGGGGAAUAUUGCACAAUGGGCGAAAGCCUGAUGCAGCGACGCCGCGUGAGGGAUGGAGGCCUUCGGGUUGUAAACCUCUUUCGCUCAUGGUCAAGCCGCAACUUAGGGUUGUGGUGAGGGUAGUGGGUAAAGAAGCGCCGGCUAACUACGUGCCAGCAGCCGCGGUAAUACGUAGGGCGCGAGCGUUGUCCGGAAUUAUUGGGCGUAAAGGGCUUGUAGGCGGUUGGUCGCGUCUGCCGUGAAAUCCUCUGGCUUAACUGGGGGCGUGCGGUGGGUACGGGCUGACUUGAGUGCGGUAGGGGAGACUGGAACUCCUGGUGUAGCGGUGGAAUGCGCAGAUAUCAGGAAGAACACCGGUGGCGAAGGCGGGUCUCUGGGCCGUUACUGACGCUGAGGAGCGAAAGCGUGGGGAGCGAACAGG